Paramuricea clavata is the source of this 68-nucleotide non-coding RNA. Lineage: Eukaryota; Metazoa; Cnidaria; Anthozoa; Malacalcyonacea; Plexauridae. The record is from the annotation of a GenBank genome assembly.
CUGCAAUGAUGAGUUGCUUUCGGUCUGUGUUUCUGAUGUAAAUAUGACGAUAUGAAAGCUCUGAGCAG